This 3167-nucleotide long non-coding RNA is filed under the name Panax ginseng (ginseng). RNAcentral describes it as "long non-coding RNA (PGIN_LNC011175)". Lineage: Eukaryota; Viridiplantae; Streptophyta; Magnoliopsida; Apiales; Araliaceae. The record is from RNAcentral.
AAGGAAGAAUGCUAGUUUGGAGGACUCUACACGGGAAGAUGAGGAUAGUAUGACUUAUUAUUUCACAGAUUUGAACUGGGGGGUCGUCACACAUGUAAUCUCCUACAAGCCAGUCGCUUGUCCUUUAUGUUUAGGUUGACAAAUUUGAAUUUGUAGUUUUUAGUCUUUACAAUUUCCUUAUAAGUUAAACCCUUAAAUUUAGAAGAACAGAUGUUAAAAGCAUGUAUAAUGAAUUACAAGAUCAACAACUAGGCCAUAAAAGGUGGAGUUUAUGGACUAAUUUGGAUUUCAAAGGUUUCCCAUAUUACUUGCAGUCACUGGCCUCCUUGUGACCGUGCAUGAUCUCAGAUAUUGAUUCUGGUACAAAGAUGCAGUCAGAAGGUUUCUUCACCAAGUUUAACAAAUCCAGUACCAAAAGCCAUACAUUUAAACCUCUUUUCACUCUUGAACAGAUGCAACAAAAUUGCAUCUUUUAUCAUGUUAAAUAUGGAAGUUCACUACUAAUAAAAAGAGUCGAGUCCAGAACAUAACUAUUGAGAAGUGCGUGCUUUUGUGGUGCUGUUUGAUCUAUCGGAUUCUCUCUCUUGACUGUCACUCUUUCUGUUGAACUCCAUGCCCUGGAACGUGAGCCUAGAAGAUCGGUAUUGACUACCAAAUCCUGUGCCAAAUCCCCAUCCAAGGCCUAGCCCAACUCCACACCCUCCGCCUUCAUUAAAGUGCCAAUAUAUAACUCAGCGAAAUGAUUUGAGGUAAGGUACAUGUAUAAAUUGCUUCAAGUAAAGGCAGUUCUAGUCUAUACCUGCACCAAGACCUAUGAUAUUCAAAGGCAUGCCUGUAUCAAAUUAACAAAAAAAAUUAGAAAAUGCCUACAUGGAUCUAAAGAUUCUUGACAAAAGCAUGAAUCAUACUAAAACAACUGUGCGAAAACUGGACAACAACAACAUAUUGGAAAUGAAAAUUCUAAUUUCUAAGCUUAAAGAAGUUAGAUAAUUCUAGAUAACAAGAGAAUCUAGUUCAACAAAUUUGAUUUUAAUUGAUAAAUUUGUAGAGAUUUAGCUAAUUUGACAAUUUUAAUCCAAGGUUUUACAUUACAGAAGUUGUUUACCAUCAUUUUCCAAAUAAAUGAUAAAAGUACAGGUAAAAGUUUCAAAUAGAAAACAGCGAAGAAGGCAAAAAUAAAUACCAAUAUGACCAGUAGUAACUGCAAAUAUGACAAAAGAAUCAAACUACACCAUGCUCCAUAACACAUACACGAGCAUGUUCUAAGAAAUCUUUGGAUGCCCAAGAAAGUGUAAACAAGAAAAUUGGCCAAGUCUGGGGGAGGCCUACCCUUGGCCUUGGCCGGGGCUGGCUAGUCUCCUCCCCACUUAGCUCAGGCCAGCCCCUUGAUGAUUAUUCAGAAGAUUCUUGGACAUAAGCGUGCACAACAGAGUAGAAGAUAAGUCAGAAGGCUGCCUCCUUGGGCUCCUUGUAGAAGGCUUAGGGAGACCUCCUCCAUAUUGGACCUGUGAGAGGGACUUGCAUUGGUGGGAUGUAAUGGUAGGGUAACUCAGGCUUAACGAGGGUGGUAAUUUCAUCAGUGGGACCUACUAGACAUAUGGGAUUAAGUGGGACCUGCACAUGACUGGAUCUGUCGAGCACAUGACCUGGGAGGUACCCACAACUAUAAAUACCUCUCACAACUUGAGGAGGGGUUUCUUCUGUGGUUCCUUUUGGUCCUUGGACUUCUGGACUCUUUGAUCAGCUCUGGUAUACAGACCCCAUAUUUGCAUAACUUUUUAACGAAACUCUGCCCCAUCCUUCAUUAUUAAUCCAUCUAGGUAGGUGCGGUACAGCGGUACUAUUAAUUUCAUCAUGUACAGGCUAUAUACAUUCAAACUAAGUAGUUCACACAGAAAUUAAUAAGGACACAUUUGGCAGUUCCAUCACUUGUGGCUACUAAUACAUGCUCUAAUCUUAUAUUUACUGGGAAGGUUAAUUCUUGAAACUUCAAUGGGAUCCUCAGAUUUGACCCCAGAUUCUCUAUACAGCAACCAAGGAAAUAAGAAUGUUUAUUAGUAACAGAAAUUGCAGCACUUGUUGCGAGAAUUUUCCAACCAUUCAUUUGAAUUUUGAGCUAUCCACACUUAUAUGACAUCAAACAAAUCCUCAUUUUGUAUUAUCAUCACUAGUCUUCUUCAGUGUACUUCCGCAGUCUGACGAGAGUCACUAAGUUGCCUUCGACCUGGAGACGGGUAUAACCUUUCCUCAUAAACGUAGAACCAAUAUUUAGGUUUAUGUUGAAUUAGUCUCUCAGACUAGGAAUACCCAUAUGACAUCCAGCCAUGGACUCCGUAUUAAUUCCAAGCGAUCACAUUAAGAUCAACUUCAUUGUCUGUAUAUGAAGGAUCCACACAAGAUCUGGUGCAGUAAAUAGAGAUGACACUAAGUAAUCCCCACCUAAUAUUCCUGCAGUUUGAUGUUUUUAUCCUUAUAGAGCAGGAAAAAUCACAAAUCAAGAUCAUUUCACUGUUUGUUCACUUAAGUUUCAGCAGAACAGUAGUAGAAUAAAAACACGAAAGCAAGUGCCAAAAUGUGACAAAGUAUCACACACAUUCAAAUUCUCACAUUGAAAAAAAACCAUUGAAACCAAAACAUCAAUCAAUCACCAACACCUAAAUUAUCUAAUUACCCAAGUAUCAUAUUUGUCAGCAAAGCAAAAAUUACAAAAUGUUCAAGUAAGAUUAUAAGAUAAUCAAACCUCCAAAACCCCAUCCGAUACCGAAACCACAACCAACUCCAAAACCUGAGAUCAAACCACAAACCCAAAAUCAUCAUGUUCAAAAGACACUGGAUAUAAAUAUGAAAAAAAAGAGAGUAAAUGAUCGAAAUAUACGAGUAUACCGAAUCCAAUACCAGUCCCGUUGAAGUUUGUGAGCACCAUUUCUGAAAGAAGUUCUUUAUUUCACUGCCAUUAACAUAUAUGUAAUUGUAAACAAGUAUCCACAUGUCCAUAUAGAAAUUAUAUAUAUUGACAGAGAGAAAAAAAGGGGAAUUGAAAGAAGGGGUGAAUUAUAUACUUACAGAGGAGGAAUAAAGAAGCUGGCAGGAAGGUUUUCGAUUCCUGGAAGGACCCAAUUGAGAACUAGGGCUAUCUGAAGAGGGUAAAUUGGGAGCCAACUCUUAUU